RNAcentral lists this ribosomal RNA (389 nucleotides) under uncultured bacterium. Its description in RNAcentral is "bacterial SSU rRNA". It matches the Rfam family "Bacterial small subunit ribosomal RNA", at positions 28 to 417 of the family's 1533-position model. The record is from RNAcentral.
GACGAACGCUGGCGGCGUGCUUAACACAUGCAAGUCGAGCGGUAAGGCCCUUCGGGGGUACACGAGCGGCGAACGGGUGAGUAACACGUGGGUGACCUGCCCUCAGCUCUGGGAUAAGCCUGGGAAACUGGGUCUAAUACUGGAUAUGACUCCACGGUGCAUGUCGUGGGGUGGAAAGCCUUGUGCGGCUGAGGAUGGGGCCCGCGGCCUAUCAGCUUGGUUGGUGGGGUGANGGCCUACCAAGGCGACGACGGGUAGCCGGCCUGAGAGGGCGACCGGCCACACUGGGACUGAGACACGGCCCAGACUCCUACGGGAGGCAGCAGUGGGGAAUCUUGCGCAAUGGGCGAAAGCCUGACGCAGCGACGCCGCGUGAGGGAUGACGGCCU